RNAcentral lists this long non-coding RNA (229 nucleotides) under Gossypium barbadense (sea-island cotton). RNAcentral describes it as "long non-coding RNA (GBAR_LNC016494)". Lineage: Eukaryota; Viridiplantae; Streptophyta; Magnoliopsida; Malvales; Malvaceae. The record is from RNAcentral.
CCAAAUAACAUCCUGUUAGAAGUGAUUUUAUACUAUUUGAUUAGAAACGUCAACUCGAAAUUAUUUCUUCCAGGACCUAAAAACCCUAAAAAGCCUGAACCCUAAACCUUAAAAGCCAAAAAAACCUAAGGUGGGAAAAACGACAAAAUCGCGUCCCCCGGAACGCGCUACGUGGCGCCAGGAAAUCGCGUCCACGUCAACGCGAGUUACUGACGUGGCAGUAAAUCGC